CGGUUCGGGGCAGCCACGAAAGAAAAUCUCUAGAGGUGGAGACAUCGCUUUUCAAGGUUGCCCGCGUUCUGUUAGGAAAAAAAUCCCAAGAAUUCCGAUGCCCUGGAGGCUGUGACUUCCCAACUGUUCUCAGGGGUUCAAAAUGUUCAGUGCCCAGGAGCACGAAGAAAAGCAGUGCGGGGCAAAGGUCCCUCCGCCCCCGCCCGGGCGGGCGCAGCGCGGCGUGGGGACAUCAUAGCCGACGCUGGACACCGGGAAGAAAGGAGUCACGAAGGUGCUUUCCCCGCCCCACUGUUGUCCACCUGUCCCUGCACGGCCCUGGGCCAUGACUCCCUCAAUCGCACAGAUCAAGUGGAGCUGACAAGGGCAAGCGGCAGGCCUGGACGCUCUCAGCAACACUGCAGGGGCCAGAAGGCUGCGGACCGAGCCGCGGGUGCUUCCCGGGUAGGCACCCUGGGAACAGCGGGCGCCGCGGCCCUGCAGGCCAGCGGGUGGAAGGUGCCCGGGGCUGCAACAGCCUCCGACAGGUGAGAAAUCUUCUUCCUCUCUUUCUUUUUAAAGGUGCAGCCUUGUUUUCCACUUUUUUUUAAAUUUAGAGACUAUUUUACAAUUAUUUAUUUAUUUAUUUUAAAGGCAAAGAGAGAGGGAGAGAGAUUUUCCAUUUGCUAGUUUGCUCCCCAAAUGGCUGCAAGACCUAGGGCUGGGCCAGGCUGAAGCCAGGAACCUGCAGUUCAGUCCUGGUCUGCCGUGUUGGUUGCAGAGCCCCAGGGACUUGAGCCCUCACCUGCUGCCUCCCAGGGUGCACAUCAGCAGGAAGCCAGAAUCAAAAGUGGAGCCAGGCCUCGAACCCAGGCCCUCUGCUAGGGAAUGCAGGCGUCUCAACCGCUGAGCCACGGACCUGCCCCCAGCCAGAACGUUCUCAGGCUGAAGGGGUCAGAGUACUGGCCUGCAGUGUGUACAGGUCAUUGAGAAUGCGCGUGUGGGGAUCGGUGCUGUGGCACAGGGGGUGAAGCCUCCAGCGUCCCACGGAGCACCAGUCCCCGCUGCCCUGCCUCCGAGCCAGCUCCCUGCUAAUGCACCUGGGAAGGCAGCAGAAGCUGGCCCAGGUAUCUGGGCCCCUUCCACUCAGGUGGGAGACCUGGAUGGAGUUCCUGGCUCCUGGCUUUGGUCUGGUCCAGCACUGGCUGUUGAGCCACUUGGGGAGUGAAUUGGCAGAUGGGAGAUUCUCUCUCCAUCCCUGUGUCUGUCCUGCCAUUCAAAUAAAUAGAUCUU
RNAcentral lists this long non-coding RNA (1272 nucleotides) under Oryctolagus cuniculus (rabbit). RNAcentral's name for it is "lncRNA (ENSOCUG00000036008.1)". Lineage: Eukaryota; Metazoa; Chordata; Mammalia; Lagomorpha; Leporidae. The record is from RNAcentral.